Long non-coding RNA from Acyrthosiphon pisum (pea aphid), 334 nucleotides. RefSeq lists it as uncharacterized. The transcript has 2 exons. Lineage: Eukaryota; Metazoa; Arthropoda; Insecta; Hemiptera; Aphididae. The record is from RefSeq and is a predicted model, not a curated record.
AUGUAAAAAUAUUAUUUACGUAUACCCGUCAUAGACCAUAAAUCAAUAAAAAAUCAAUCUACUCGACCAAUUUCCAAUGAAAACGAGUAAAGACAGACAGCAGUGUUUGAAGGAUUUACCGAUAACCAAUGUUCAAUUCAUCUUUGUAAAAACAAUACCUAGGUGCCGAUAUCUUAUUAUGAAACACUCAAACACGACAUGAUUCUGAAAUGUGUUGUGAAGUGAAAUAUGAAUGUUCAAAUUUUAGUAAAAUCCUAAGAAUUUAUGUAUACUAAUUAUGGAAUAAUUAUCAUAAUAUAUUAUUAUCCAGUUAUAACUGGUGAUUUAAACUUAG